This 388-nucleotide long non-coding RNA is filed under the name Homo sapiens (human). RNAcentral's name for it is "non-protein coding lnc-BORA-28:2". Lineage: Eukaryota; Metazoa; Chordata; Mammalia; Primates; Hominidae. The record is from RNAcentral.
ACAAUGGCAGCAAGGCCAUUGAGAGUCUAAAGAAGAAUAUCUCCAAGCAGGAGUCGCUCCUCAGGGCACAUAACCUCAACGACAAGAGUUACACAUUCCUGAUUUCCUCUGACUAUGAAUAUGUCUAACAGAGGGAGAACUUGUGGAAGCAGCAGCAGAAGUAUUUCAAAAGCUUUUCUCUGAUGUUUGUGGAGCUACAGAUGUUGAUCAACAUGUCUGUCAAACUUCAGACUGCUCACAACAUUCUAAUGACUGUCAACAAAGAAGAUGGUGAAUCUCCUGAGUAUUACAGGUUUCUGAAUAUUGUAGUCCACUCCACCACCAGACUAAAGCAGAGCUUAUGUCUGUACUGAACCCUGGAGAUAGAUUUCUAUUGGUGUUUUGUCAA